This 440-nucleotide ribosomal RNA is filed under the name uncultured bacterium. Its description in RNAcentral is "partial 16S ribosomal RNA". It matches the Rfam family "Bacterial small subunit ribosomal RNA", at positions 338 to 795 of the family's 1533-position model. The record is from RNAcentral.
CCUACGGGGGGCUGCAGUUAGGAAUUUUGGGCAAUGGGCGGAAGCCUGACCCAGCAACGCCGCGUGGGUGACGAAGGCCUUCGGGUCGUAAAGCCCUUUUCCCAGGGAAGAUAGUGACGGUACCUGGGGAAUCAGCCCCGGCUAACUACGUGCCAGCAGCCGCGGUAAUACGUAGGGGGCAAGCGUUGUCCGGAUUUAUUGGGCGUAAAGCGCUCGCAGGUGGUUCAUUGCGUCGUGCGUGAAAGACCCUGGCUCAACUGGGGGGUGUCGUGCGAAUCGGGUGGACUUGAGGGCAGUAGGGGGAUGCGGAAUUCCGGGUGUAGUGGUGGAAUGCGUAGAGAUCCGGAGGAACACCAGCGGCGAAGGCGGCAUCCUGGACUGUGCCUGACACUCAGGAGCGAAAGCGUGGGGAGCGAUCCGGAUUAGAUACCCCAGUAGUC